This 505-nucleotide ribosomal RNA is filed under the name uncultured bacterium. RNAcentral's name for it is "partial 16S ribosomal RNA". It matches the Rfam family "Bacterial small subunit ribosomal RNA", at positions 28 to 507 of the family's 1533-position model. The record is from RNAcentral.
GACGAACGCUGGCGGCGUGCCUAAUACAUGCAAGUAGAACGCACAGGUUAUACCGUAGCUUGCUACACCAUAGACUGUGAGUUGCGAACGGGGGAGUAACGCGUAGGUAACCUGCCUGGUAGCGGGGGAUAACUAUUGGAAACGAUAGCUAAUACCGCAUAAUAUUAAUUAUUGCAUGGUAAUUAAUUGAAAGUUGCAAUUGCACCACUACCAGAUGGACCUGCGUUGUAUUAGCUAGUAGGUGAGGCAACGGCUCACCUAGGCGACGAUACAUAGCCGACCUGAGAGGGUGAUCGGCCACACUGGGACUGAGACACGGCCCAGAAUCCUACGGGAGGCAGCAGUAGGGAAUCUUCGGGCAUGGACGAAAGUCUGACCGAGAAACGCCGAGUGAGGGAAGAAGGUUUUCGGAUCGUAGAGCUCGGUUGUAAGAGAAGAACGGGUGUGAGAGUGGAAAGUUCACACUGUGACGGUAUCUUACCAGAAAGGGACGGCUAACUACGUG